RNAcentral lists this ribosomal RNA (253 nucleotides) under uncultured bacterium. Its description in RNAcentral is "partial 16S ribosomal RNA". It matches the Rfam family "Bacterial small subunit ribosomal RNA", at positions 524 to 776 of the family's 1533-position model. The record is from RNAcentral.
UACGAGGGGUGCAAGCGUUGCUCGGAAUUAUUGGGCGUAAAGGGUUGGUAGGUGGUCUUGUUUGUCUAAGGUGAAAUCCCAUGGCUUAACUGUGGAAGUGCCUUAGAAACGGCAAGACUAGAGUCCUAGAGGGGUUUGUGGAAUUCCCGGUGUAGCGGUGAAAUGCGCAGAUAUCAGGAAGAACACCCGUGGCGAAAGCGGCUCUCUGGAACGGUACUGACGCUGAGACGCGAAAGCGUGGGGAGCGAACAGG